AUUGAACGCUGGCGGCAGGCCUAACACAUGCAAGUCGAACGGUAACAGGAAGCAGCUUGCUGCUUUGCUGACGAGUGGCGGACGGGUGAGUAAUGUCUGGGAAACUGCCUGAUGGAGGGGGAUAACUACUGGAAACGGUAGCUAAUACCGCAUAACGUCGCAAGACCAAAGAGGGGGACCUUAGGGCCUCUUGCCAUCGGAUGUGCCCAGAUGGGAUUAGCUAGUAGGUGGGGUAACGGCUCACCUAGGCGACGAUCCCUAGCUGGUCUGAGAGGAUGACCAGCCACACUGGAACUGAGACACGGUCCAGACUCCUACGGGAGGCAGCAGUGGGGAAUAUUGCACAAUGGGCGCAAGCCUGAUGCAGCCAUGCCGCGUGUAUGAAGAAGGCCUUCGGGUUGUAAAGUACUUUCAGCGUGGAGGAAGGGAGUAAAGUUAAUACCUUUGCUCAUUGACGUUACCCGCAGAAGAAGCACCGGCUAACUCCGUG
RNAcentral lists this ribosomal RNA (490 nucleotides) under uncultured bacterium. RNAcentral describes it as "partial 16S ribosomal RNA". It matches the Rfam family "Bacterial small subunit ribosomal RNA", at positions 30 to 507 of the family's 1533-position model. The record is from RNAcentral.